AUACGAAGGGGGCUAGCGUUGUUCGGAAUCACUGGGCGUAAAGCGCGCGUAGGUGGAUCAAUUAGUUGAGGGUGAAAUCCCGGGGCUCAACCUCGGAACUGCCUUCAAUACUGUUGAUCUUGAGACCGAGAGAGGUGAGUGGAAUUCCUAGUGUAGAGGUGAAAGUCGUAGAUAUUAGGAAGAACACCAGUGGCGAAGGCGGCUCACUGGCUCGGUACUGACGCUGAGGUGCGAAAGCGUGGGGAGCAAACAGGAUUAGAUACCCUUGUAGUCC
Molecule: ribosomal RNA, 274 nt
Filed under: uncultured bacterium
Lineage: Bacteria
Description: partial 16S ribosomal RNA
Rfam family: Bacterial small subunit ribosomal RNA
Source: RNAcentral